GUUUUUAUGGUGUAACUUAACACAUUGCAUUUUCAUUGCUAAACUGAAAAUUUAUUUUCUAAAAACU
RNAcentral lists this transfer RNA (67 nucleotides) under Tubuca paradussumieri. Its description in RNAcentral is "tRNA-Glu". Lineage: Eukaryota; Metazoa; Arthropoda; Malacostraca; Decapoda; Ocypodidae. The record is from RNAcentral. RNAcentral also lists the same sequence under 1 other name.